Pangasianodon gigas (Mekong giant catfish) is the source of this 72-nucleotide non-coding RNA. NCBI's taxonomy places the organism in Eukaryota, Metazoa, Chordata, Actinopteri, Siluriformes, Pangasiidae. The record is from the annotation of a GenBank genome assembly.
CUAUUGCAAGAGAAGUGUGUUCUUCAAUCGCCAGUGAUGUUGUGCCUUCUCAUCUAACCAUGUCUAUCACUG